GGGCCCGUCGUAUAGUGGCAAUACGUAGCAUUCGCAUUGCUAAAACGCGGUUUCGAUUACCGCCGGGUCCACAA
Molecule: transfer RNA, 74 nt
Filed under: Candidatus Yanofskybacteria bacterium RIFCSPHIGHO2_01_FULL_42_12
Lineage: Bacteria; Candidatus Yanofskyibacteriota
Also listed under: 1 other name
Description: tRNA-Ala
Rfam family: tRNA
About the family: Transfer RNA (tRNA) molecules are approximately 80 nucleotides in length. Their secondary structure includes four short double-helical elements and three loops (D, anti-codon, and T loops). Further hydrogen bonds mediate the characteristic L-shaped molecular structure. tRNAs have two regions of fundamental functional importance: the anti-codon, which is responsible for specific mRNA codon recognition, and the 3' end, to which the tRNAs corresponding amino acid is attached (by aminoacyl-tRNA synthetases). tRNAs cope with the degeneracy of the genetic code in two manners: having more than one tRNA (with a specific anti-codon) for a particular amino acid; and 'wobble' base-pairing, i.e. permitting non-standard base-pairing at the 3rd anti-codon position.
Source: RNAcentral